RNAcentral lists this ribosomal RNA (478 nucleotides) under uncultured bacterium. RNAcentral's name for it is "partial 16S ribosomal RNA". It matches the Rfam family "Bacterial small subunit ribosomal RNA", at positions 29 to 523 of the family's 1533-position model. The record is from RNAcentral.
AACAAACGCUGGCGGCGUGCCUAAUACAUGCAAGUCGAACGAGGAAAGCUUUCGGGUGAGUACUAGUGGCGCACGGGUGAGGAAUACAUGGGUAAUCUGCCCUCGAGUUUGGGAUAACCAGUCGAAAGAUUGGCUAAUACCGGAUAAGACCACAAGAUCUGCGGAUCUAGGGGUUAAAGGUUUUUCGCUUGAGGAUGAGCCCAUGCGGGAUUAGCUAGUUGGUGGGGUAAUGGCCUACCAAGGCUACGAUCCCUAACUGGUCUUAGAGGAUGAUCAGUCACACUGGAACUGAGACACGGUCCAGACUCCUACGGGAGGCAGCAGUAGGGAAUAUUGCACAAUGGGGGAAACCCUGAUGCAGCGACGCCGCGUGAGUGAUGAAGGCCUUCGGGUCGUAAAGCUCUGUCGUAUGGGACUAACACAAUGAAGGUACCAUGCAAGAAAGGAUCGGCUAACUUCGUGCCAGCAGCCGCCGUAA